AACUUUUGGCAACGGAUCUCUUGGUUCUGGCAACGAUGAAGAACGCAGCGAAAUGCGAUAAGUAAUGUGAAUUGCAGAAUUCAGUGAAUCAUCGAAUCCUUGAACGCACAUUGCGCCCCCUGGCAUUCCGGGGGGCACACCUGUUCGAGCGCCAUUUCAACCCUCAAGCCCCGCUUGGUGAUGGGCCCCGCCUACGGGCGGGCCCGAAACUCGUGGGCGUCGUCGUUCGGCUUCAAGCGUAGCAAAAACCCCGCUUGAGCGCUCGGACGGCGGCCGCCUAGAACGAACUCUUUACAAGGUUGGCCUCGGAUCAGGUGGGGAUACCCGCUGAACUUAAGCAUAUCAAUAAGCGGAGGCU
RNAcentral lists this unclassified non-coding RNA (358 nucleotides) under uncultured Venturiaceae. Its description in RNAcentral is "sequence contains ITS2". The stretch from base 1 to 154 matches the Rfam family "5.8S ribosomal RNA". The record is from RNAcentral. Lineage: Eukaryota; Fungi; Ascomycota; Dothideomycetes; Venturiales; Venturiaceae.